Rhinichthys klamathensis goyatoka is the source of this 543-nucleotide long non-coding RNA. RefSeq lists it as uncharacterized. The transcript has 3 exons. Lineage: Eukaryota; Metazoa; Chordata; Actinopteri; Cypriniformes; Leuciscidae. The record is from RefSeq and is a predicted model, not a curated record.
GGUAUAUUUUUUUAAUUACCACACUUUAAAGACAAACACGGCCAUUGGGCGAUUUCUGUCAAUGAUGGAGGACCUUCUUCAAGUUACAAUUCACCACAACACCCUGAGGAAAGCAAUUUUUCAUUUCUGGGCAAUGAAAAGAUAUAGCUAUGACUUUUCCUGUAUUCGCUGUGGCCAUGAACCACCUAUCCUAAUUGCUGAUGGUAAUUGGAAGGUGGCAUUUGAUUUACCUGUCAAUCUCCUGAAGAGACCAUGUACUCAGAAUGUACAACCAAGUGACCUUAGAGUUGAUGUUGAUGAGAGAUGGUCAUCAUUGGAAAAGGAAUUAAUUUGUGUUGGUUUCAGUAAUGAAACAAAGGAGAGAAACCCUUUCUCCAGUGAACUGUCCUACUCAUCUUUUGCCCCUUGGCUUGGAUCCUCCUGCAGAGCUGGAAAAGUUUUAACAAAAACAGAGAUCCUCAAAGGGUUUUCAGAUCGUCUAAGUGACAAGUCACCUCCUGUGGACUCGCAUGCUGUUGAGGACACAGUACUAAAAUUGCUUGA